RNAcentral lists this ribosomal RNA (253 nucleotides) under uncultured bacterium. RNAcentral's name for it is "partial 16S ribosomal RNA". It matches the Rfam family "Bacterial small subunit ribosomal RNA", at positions 524 to 776 of the family's 1533-position model. The record is from RNAcentral.
UACGUAGGGGGCUAGCGUUGUCCGGAUUUAUUGGGCGUAAAGAGCGUGUAGGCGGCCAGGUAGGUCUGCUGUGAAAACUCGAGGCUCAACCUCGAGAUGUCGGCGGAAACCAUCUGGCUAGAGUCCGGAAGAGGAGAGUGGAAUUCCUGGUGUAGCGGUGAAAUGCGCAGAUAUCAGGAGGAACACCUGUGGCGAAAGCGGCGCACUGGACCACAACUGACGCUGAGGCGCGAAAGCUAGGGGAGCAAACAGG